RNAcentral lists this ribosomal RNA (416 nucleotides) under uncultured bacterium. RNAcentral describes it as "bacterial SSU rRNA". It matches the Rfam family "Bacterial small subunit ribosomal RNA", at positions 359 to 773 of the family's 1533-position model. The record is from RNAcentral.
GAAUAUUGGGCAAUGGACGGAAGUCUGACCCAGCCAUGCCGCGUGAAGGAAGAAGGCCUUCUGGGUUGUAAACUUCUUUUAUAUGGGAAGAAAAAGCGCUUGCGAGCGAAACUGACGGUACCAUAUGAAUAAGCACCGGCUAACUCCGUGCCAGCAGCCGCGGUAAUACGGAGGGUGCAAGCGUUGUCCGGAUUUAUUGGGUUUAAAGGGUGCGUAGGCGGCCCUGUAAGUCAGUGGUGAAAGCCGACAGCUCAACUGUCGAACUGCCAUUGAUACUGCAGGGCUUGAGUACAAACGAGGUAGGCGGAAUUGAUUGUGUAGCGGUGAAAUGCAUAGAUACAAUCAAGAACACCGAUUGCGAAGGCAGCUUACUAGAUUGUAACUGACGCUGAGGCACGAAAGCGUGGGGAGCGAAC